Molecule: unclassified non-coding RNA, 158 nt
Filed under: uncultured Sordariomycetes
Lineage: Eukaryota; Fungi; Ascomycota; Sordariomycetes
Description: sequence contains ITS1
Source: RNAcentral
CCGAGUUAUCAACUCACCAAACCCACUGCGAAUAUACCCAAACUCAGCUCCUCCGGCAGGCGGCCCCAGGGCGGGGCCUUAGCCUUUUUGGCGCCUGCCGAAGGUAGCGCAAUUUUUACUCUUUACCAGUACAAUCUGAGUCCUUUGACAAAAUAUCA